UACGGGGGGGGCAAGCGUUGUUCGGAAUUACUGGGCGUAAAGGGCUCGUAGGCGGCCAACUAAGUCAGACGUGAAAUCCCUCGGCUUAACCGGGGAACUGCAUCUGAUACUGGAUGGCUCGAGUUUGGGAGAGGGAUGCGGAAUUCCAGGUGUAGCGGUGAAAUGCGUAGAUAUCGGGAAGAACACCAGUGGCGAAGGCGGCUGCCUGGCCUGUAACUGACGCUGAGACGCGAAAGCGUGGGGAGCGAACCGG
This 253-nucleotide ribosomal RNA is filed under the name uncultured bacterium. RNAcentral's name for it is "partial 16S ribosomal RNA". It matches the Rfam family "Bacterial small subunit ribosomal RNA", at positions 524 to 776 of the family's 1533-position model. The record is from RNAcentral.